CAGCUCCAGCUCCAACGCCACGGCCAACAGCACUUAGAGCUCCUGCUCCACAGCCAUUUAGGCCCCCAGCACCUCAGCCUCGGCCAACUGUUCGACCACCACCACCUGCUGUCACAUCUCCUCCUCCACCUACUAGAGCAUUGUUCCCUGGCAUUACUACUAUUACUGCUGCAAGAUCUCCAACAACAUCGACUGCCCCUCCCUCUCCAGCGAAAUCAAUACCUGCAAUAACAUCUGUCCCUUCUUCUCCUGCAGCAACUUCCACAUUUCUCCCAAUCACAUCCUCUUCUUUCACCUUAAGGAGCCCUGAAACCAAGACCUCUGCUCCACCUUCCUCUUCAUUGACAACUUCUCCAUUCCCAAAACCAGUACCAUCACCACCUAAAACUGCUGCGCCUACAACUCCC
Molecule: long non-coding RNA, 407 nt
Filed under: Nicotiana tabacum (common tobacco)
Lineage: Eukaryota; Viridiplantae; Streptophyta; Magnoliopsida; Solanales; Solanaceae
Description: long non-coding RNA (NTAB_LNC017956)
Source: RNAcentral